GUACACGCUGUGACUAGCAUAUCAAUAAGCGGAGGAAAAGAGGGCUAUUACCUACGCUUAGGAUGUUGAUGAUGUAGCACAUCAUACACGCAUGACACACUGCAUAUCAAUAAGCGGAGGAAAAGGAACUAACAAGGAUUCCCCUAGUAACGGCGAGUGAAGCGGGAAGAGCUCAAAUUUGAAAUCUUAAAGGGUUUCCCUUUACGAAUUGUAGUUUAAAGAAGUGUUUUCUGUUGAGGUUUUGGUAAAAGUUCUUUGGAAUAGGACAUCAUAGAGGGUGAGAAUCCCGUAUUUGACCUUUACUUUCAACUUUGUGAUACACUUUCAAAGAGUCGGAUUGUUUGGGAAUGCAGUCCAAAAUGGGUGGUAAAUUUCAUCUAAAGCUAAAUAUUGGCGAGAGACCGAUAGCGAACAAGUACCGUGAGGGAAAGAUGAAAAGAACUUUGAAAAGAGAGUUAAACAGUACGUGAAAUUGUCAAAAGGGAAGCGUUUGACACCAGUGUUGUUUUUCUGAAAAUCAAUUAAAGAACUGUUUAUGCUAAGCUGUUUAGACUUUAUCAGCUAUCUGUUUAGUUUUGAGCUUUUCUUUAAUGCACUUUUCAGUUAACAAGUCAACAUCAAUUUCUUUUGCUGUAAAAAAGCUUGAGGAAGGUGGCUUGAGAUUCGUCUUAAGUGUUUAUAGCCUCUUGCCUAUGCAGUCGGAGAGAUUGAGGUCUGCAGCGUAGAUCCUUCGGGGCUAAAUGCAUUUGUGCUAAGUUAUAGCAUUUUAUAGACAACUUGUUGACUAUGAUUUGUCUUGUAGCUUACUCGCUUAUGUUAUUUUACCUACGCUUAGGAUGUUGACUGAUAUGUAGUCGUA
This 859-nucleotide ribosomal RNA is filed under the name uncultured Neocallimastigales. Its description in RNAcentral is "partial large subunit ribosomal RNA". It matches the Rfam family "Eukaryotic large subunit ribosomal RNA", at positions 1 to 644 of the family's 3401-position model. The record is from RNAcentral. Lineage: Eukaryota; Fungi; Neocallimastigomycota; Neocallimastigomycetes; Neocallimastigales.